This is an RNA transcript of Dermacentor andersoni, 1247 nucleotides long. RefSeq lists it as uncharacterized. The record is from RefSeq and is a predicted model, not a curated record. Lineage: Eukaryota; Metazoa; Arthropoda; Arachnida; Ixodida; Ixodidae.
CUGUAACCGGGGAUGUCAUUAUCAGAAUGAAGCUUGGCUUCUCCACUACCACUGUGUUACCCCUUUAAAUAUGUAUAGGCCACAUUCAUCAUCAUUAUCAUCAUCGUUCCAGUACUUAACAUCAGUGAUGUUAUUAUACAUGCCAGCUGUCCGAACUAAAUGCCGAGAAGUGUUGAAAACCAAGAGAGGGUGUGGCGGAAACCAGGCACACUUUAUUUGUCUAGACAGGCACUGUUCACGCUAGAGAGUUGUUGCAUAAAGCGAGGCGGCUAUAAUAAAGCGCGUAGCAAUAGGUGCCACCAAGUGGCUUCACUUCGGCGCAAGAGGAUUAAACUUUUUGUUGUUCUUGUUGUUGGUAACUUCCUUGAAUGUGACCUUCUUGUGGUCUCUAUUUUUCCUAUACUAUUCUGGCCGCUAUCUCACAUGUGCUUCUAAUGGCAUUGCUAACAAAUGUAGAUGCAAAUGUUUUUCAUGUUUAUUUUUAAUAUUUUUUUACUACUACUAUGCCUACUACUUGUUUUACCCCUCCUUUCACCUACUCCUUUUUUGACCCCCCAUACAGGGUACGCGCAGCUGUUUAGAAUCAUCUCUAUGAUGAUCAUCGUCACCAUCCUUCUUGUGGGUAUGGUAGAGUCCAGGAACACACGAUUGCACGCUGGUGGCAUACGCGCACGGAUCUCGGCUGUUGGCCUUCAUGAACGACACCGGGGAUGGUUCCCAACAAGCUAACGGCACGCCACGCGCGACAGAUGCAUGCGUCAUGCGCCAGACAGGCCACGAAACCAGCGAGACCGAUUGCACUUCUGCAGCUCGCCUGCUCGGCGCCCCGGCUCUUUUGGAUGUGGCGUGUUUGUUGGGUUCAUGGCGUAUUCUUGGGUUCCUUCUGUACUUCGAUACGCAACCACUGCACCAUUGGACUUCGGCAAGGAGGAGCACGCGACUGAAACGUCGAACAUCUUGACGACGUCCCGACGCCUUACAAGUUGGCAGUGCAGCAAGAUGGUGGCCAGUCAUACAGAAGAAUUUCAAAGUGGACAAGACGUAUGAGCGACAAGUAAUAAAGAAUGAAAGCAACAAAACGUCAGAUGAUUACAGAAGGAAAAACGGCUAUACAAUAAUCAACAACGUGAACAACAGCGGUGAACAAGGACAUAAAAAAGAUGAACGCAUAUUCUAGUCAAAAUAAAUAAGGUGGAAAAAUCGUAUUAUAGCAGUUUUUUUACAUGAAGGAUCAAAAUCUUGUGGGU